RNAcentral lists this ribosomal RNA (321 nucleotides) under Triticum aestivum (bread wheat). Its description in RNAcentral is "partial small subunit ribosomal RNA". Lineage: Eukaryota; Viridiplantae; Streptophyta; Magnoliopsida; Poales; Poaceae. The record is from RNAcentral.
AUGCGUGACUAUGUGCAGGCCCAUCUCAUCUCAUCUGCUUGUUUCAAGGAAGGGGGGGCAUGCCAUGGAGAAGCUGUUGCGGCUACCUCCCCUCCCCUGCGUAGGUUAGGUGUAGGUGGUAAGCCACCGCUUCCUCUCCCCUCUCCUCUGUCCUGCUCUCUCUCUAACGCUCGAUUCGUCUCUGUAGGUUGUGUGUACAACCGUAACCAGCAAAUCAACCCCAUCUGCAGCAAAUCAGCCAGAGAAGGUGGAGGAGCAGGCACCCAGAACCAACGUGAUGAACCCAAACGUCAUGCCAUCCAAAAGGAAGGUACAGACUAA